This 558-nucleotide long non-coding RNA is filed under the name Sparus aurata (gilthead seabream). RNAcentral describes it as "lncRNA (ENSSAUG00010008901.1)". The record is from RNAcentral. Lineage: Eukaryota; Metazoa; Chordata; Actinopteri; Spariformes; Sparidae.
UGUUUUGUGACAUGAAAUCUAAGUUGAUUGUAGUUCCUUGUAUUUAUCUUUAUUUUUUCUCUACUUCUAAAGUCAGAGGAGGAGUCAGUGAAGGAAUUCAGAGAUGGAAAUGUGUCAACAACCAGCCGGGCGGUGGAUCCAGAAACAUCACGAGGUGCUGAAACUCAAGUGGGAAGCUCAACAGUCACAGCACAGACUGGAGGUGUCAUCAGCACUCCUCAUAUGACUGGUGUCAACAUUGGAGGAGACAUUAUCACCAAUAUCACCAUUAACAACACAGACCAACCUCCCAGCGGAACAGAUGAGACCACUGAUGUUUCUACUAAAACCAAAGGUAUUCAGCUGAUUAAACAUAUAAAUACAUAUAACAUAUUAAAGAAGGUUUUUCACAGCCAAAUGAUAAAAAAGUUCACCAUACUUUUACUAUUACAACAUGACUAGAUUCAGAUAUUAUGAACACACAGUAUAUUAUGGAGAUGACAUGCUUAAAGCUACAAAUGUGACUUUACCAUCCUGUAAAGUUAUUGGCCAUCAGCUUUUCUUCCCUGUCAUCUGCCC